GAGACUCUGUGCGCGUGCAUAUCAAUAAGCGGAGGAAAAGAAACUAACUAGGAUUCCCUCAGUAACGGCGAGUGAAGCGGGAAGAGCUCAAAUUUGAAAUCUUCAAGGUUCUACCUUGACGAAUUGUAGUUUAAAGAAGUGUUUUCUGUUGGAGUUUUGGUAAAAGUUCUUUGGAAUAGGACAUCAUAGAGGGUGAGAAUCCCGUAUUUGACCGUUACUUUCCAGCUGUGUGAUACACUUUCAAAGAGUCGGAUUGUUUGGGAAUGCAGUCCAAAAUGGGUGGUAAAUUUCAUCUAAAGCUAAAUAUUGGCGAGAGACCGAUAGCGAACAAGUACCGUGAGGGAAAGAUGAAAAGAACUUUGAAAAGAGAGUUAAACAGUACGUGAAAUUGUCAAAAGGGAAGCGUUUGACACCAGUGUUGUUUAGUUGAAAAUCAAUUCAAUAAUUUUUGAUUUUAAGUAGUAUUGACUUCAUCAGCUUGCUGCUUUCUUUUCGAAAAUUAUUGAAUGCACUUUUCAGUUAACAAGUCAACAUCAAUUUCUUUUGUUGUAAAAGGGUAAGAGGAAGGUGGCUUACGCUUCGGCGUAAGUGUUUAUAGCCUUUUACCUCUGCAAUCGGAGAGAUUGAGGUCAGCAGCGUAGACUCCUUCGGGGUUAGAUACACUUGUGCUAAGCUAUAGCCUUGUAUAGACAACUUGUUGACUAUGCUUCAGUCAUGUAGCUUACUCGCUUAUGCUAUUUUACCUACGCUUAGGAUGUUGAGUCGUAGAGCACGCAG
RNAcentral lists this ribosomal RNA (777 nucleotides) under uncultured Neocallimastigales. RNAcentral's name for it is "partial large subunit ribosomal RNA". It matches the Rfam family "Eukaryotic large subunit ribosomal RNA", at positions 23 to 628 of the family's 3401-position model. Lineage: Eukaryota; Fungi; Neocallimastigomycota; Neocallimastigomycetes; Neocallimastigales. The record is from RNAcentral.